GCAACCCUGUUGGGAGAAUCCGGUCUACAGACGGCCGGUGCCGAAGGAGCAACCGCCCCGGAAACUCUCAGGCCAAAGGACCAGCAAGGGCAG
This is a regulatory RNA element of Rhizobium gallicum bv. gallicum, 93 nucleotides long. It matches the Rfam family "Glycine riboswitch aptamer". From Rfam's summary of the family: This family represents the bacterial glycine riboswitch. The record is from Rfam. NCBI's taxonomy places the organism in Bacteria, Pseudomonadati, Pseudomonadota, Alphaproteobacteria, Hyphomicrobiales, Rhizobiaceae.